AACCUGUAACGGUUGUAGUGAUGAAGCGGGCAUAUAAAAAAUAAAGCCCGACACUUUUUAUAAGGUGAUGGCGAGACUAAGAAUAAGGGAAACUAAUACCUUAGUUUUGUAAAGUGCCACAGAGACGAGUUGCAUGGAAACAUGCAGGUGAAACGCGGUAAACCCCUUCAGGA
RNAcentral lists this RNase P RNA (173 nucleotides) under Candidatus Mycoplasma haematomacacae. RNAcentral describes it as "Candidatus Mycoplasma haemomacaque partial rnpB". It matches the Rfam family "Bacterial RNase P class B", at positions 56 to 231 of the family's 365-position model. From Rfam's summary of the family: Ribonuclease P (RNase P) is a ubiquitous endoribonuclease, found in archaea, bacteria and eukarya as well as chloroplasts and mitochondria. Its best characterised activity is the generation of mature 5'-ends of tRNAs by cleaving the 5'-leader elements of precursor-tRNAs. The record is from RNAcentral. Lineage: Bacteria; Bacillati; Mycoplasmatota; Mollicutes; Mycoplasmatales; Mycoplasmataceae.